UCCCAUGUGUCUAGUGGUUAGAUUCCUGGCUUUCACCCAGGCGGCCCGGUUUCGAUUCUCCGCAUGGGAA
Molecule: transfer RNA, 70 nt
Filed under: Trichonephila clavata
Lineage: Eukaryota; Metazoa; Arthropoda; Arachnida; Araneae; Nephilidae
Rfam family: tRNA
About the family: Transfer RNA (tRNA) molecules are approximately 80 nucleotides in length. Their secondary structure includes four short double-helical elements and three loops (D, anti-codon, and T loops). Further hydrogen bonds mediate the characteristic L-shaped molecular structure. tRNAs have two regions of fundamental functional importance: the anti-codon, which is responsible for specific mRNA codon recognition, and the 3' end, to which the tRNAs corresponding amino acid is attached (by aminoacyl-tRNA synthetases). tRNAs cope with the degeneracy of the genetic code in two manners: having more than one tRNA (with a specific anti-codon) for a particular amino acid; and 'wobble' base-pairing, i.e. permitting non-standard base-pairing at the 3rd anti-codon position.
Source: Rfam by way of RNAcentral